UCGUAGUUGGAUUUCGGGGCUCCUUACGUAAUAGUCAUGCGGUGGAUACUUGCUUGUUGCUUUAGGGGGGGGUGUUUUUUGGGGCAACCCGAGGACACCACCACCCGGCGGCAGGGGAAAGGCCACUGCGGGCGGGGCCCAUUUAUAUUUCUCGAAGACGUCACGGGCCCUUAACUGGUGUACUGUGGUCGCGGAUUCGAGACGUUUACUUUGAAAAAAUUAGAGUGUUCAAAGCAGGCGAUCAAAAACGCUUGAAUACAUUAGCAUGGAAUAAUGGAAUAGGACUUUGGUCUUAUUUUGUUGGUUUCUAGGACUGAAGUAAUGAUUAAUAGGGACAGUUGGGGGCAUUCGUAUUUAAUUGUCAGAGGUGAAAUUCUUGGAUUUAUGAAAGACGAACUUCUGCGAAAGCAUUUGCCAAGGAUGUUUUCAUUAAUCAAGAACGAAAGUUAGGGGAUCGAAGACGAUUAGAUACCGUCGUAGUCCUAACCAUAAACUAUGCCGACUAGGGAUCAGUGGGGAACAAAUCAAAAAACUCCAUUGGCACCUUAUGAGAAAUCAAAGUUUUUGGGUUCUGGGGAAAGUACCAACGCAAGUUGGAAACUUAAAGGAAUUGACGGAAGGGCACACCAGGCGUGGAAUCUGCGGCUUAAUUGACCCAACACGGGGAAACUCACCAGGUCCAGACAAAAUAAGGAUUGACAGAUUGAGAGCUCUUUCUUGAUUUUUUGGGCAGUGGUGCAUGGCCGUUCUUAGUUGGUGGAGCGAUCUGUCUGGUUAAUUCCGAUAACGAACGAGACCUUAACCUGCUAAAUAGCGACGUCAUUCCUUGUGAAGGACGGAUUUUGACUUCUUAGAGGGACUAUCGGUGACUAACCGAUGGAAGUUUGAGGCAAUAACAGGUCUGUGAUGCCCUUAGAUGUUCUGGGCCGCACGCGCGUUACACUGACAGAGGCAGCGAGUUUUUUUAAAUAUCCUGGCCUGGAAAGGUUUGGGUAAUCUUGUGAAUCUCUGUCGUGAUGGGGAUAGAUCUUUGUAAUUAUCGAUCUUCAACGAGGAAUGCCUUGUAAUCGCGGUUCAUCAAAUCGCGUUGACUACGUCCCUGCCCUUUGUACACACCGCCCGUCGCUACUACCGAUUGAAUGGUUUAGUGAGGUCUCGGGACUGGCGCGGCUUGGCUGUAAAAGGCCGAUCCAUGCUGGGAACUUGCCCAAACUUGAUCAUUUAGAGGAAGUAAAAGUC
RNAcentral lists this ribosomal RNA (1239 nucleotides) under metagenome. RNAcentral's name for it is "SSU rRNA". It matches the Rfam family "Eukaryotic small subunit ribosomal RNA", at positions 628 to 1790 of the family's 1831-position model. The record is from RNAcentral.